RNAcentral lists this long non-coding RNA (1008 nucleotides) under Homo sapiens (human). Its description in RNAcentral is "HSALNT0139868". The record is from RNAcentral. Lineage: Eukaryota; Metazoa; Chordata; Mammalia; Primates; Hominidae.
ACUUCCCUCAACACUGAGAAUAAAUCCAGGAGAAGAUAAUUUCUCCUAAGGCGGAAAGUCCAUAUGGAAAUACAGCAAGAAGGCAGCCAUCUACUAUCCAUCUACGAGGAAGAGAGGCGGCUUCACCAGAACCGAGUCUGACAGCACCUUGAUCUUGGACUCCUAGCCUCCAGAACUCCUUAAGGAAAACAACUCUGAGGACUUUUGUCACGGACUUGAAAUUCUCAUCUGUGCUUGGACAAGACUCUGAAACAUACCAACUGUGUAUUUUCCUGCCUUUGGUAAAUCUGGAGCUAUUAACUGAUUCUAAAGAACAUUUGACUUAAAAAGACUAUGGAAAGCCCAAAGAAUAAAGAUAAUGAAGACCCCAGUGGAUUAUUAUUAGCAAAUGAAAACUGGAUAUCAAGAAGGGCAAAAUCUUCAACCUUAUCAGCAGAAAGAGUUUAUGUAAAAAUAUACCACAUAGAAUAACUAAAAAAAUAAGCAAGUGAUACCUUAUCUGAGCUCAAAAUAUCUGUUUCUUUGCAAAUGGAUAAAGGAUUUAUUAUAUUAUAGCACCUUGAGGACAGAGACUUUAUGUUUCUAACUACCCAUCCCAGCAUCAUCUAGUUCAUUCCUAUGCUGAACAGCCCCUAACACAUUGCCUAAAUAAAUACUAACAUUAUAUGUGUGCAAUGAAGUAUUCUUUUGCUAAAAGCAAAACUUUCAUAUGGUCUUACAAUAAGCCACUUGUAAGACUAGUUUUAAAUAAUUACUGAUACAAAUGCUGCCACUGCCCCCAAAGAAACCUGAAUAAAAUUAUGUUAGGCUGCACUAAUUUCAGUGUCAAGCUAUUUAACUCUGCUGAUAGUCAUUUUUUUAAAGAUCUUUUGAUCUUUAAAUUGAGAGAGUUGAACUAAAUAAUCUUUUAGAUAUCUUCUAGUUUAAUAUUCUAAGAUUCUAGUAAAUAUAUUGUGUUUGGUCAGGUGUGGUGGCUCAUGCCUGUAAUCCCAACAUUUUCAGAGGCUG